GCAAGCUCAGUGGUAUAGCAUUUGAGUGCAGAUCAAGAGUUCCCCGGUUCAAAUCCGGAUGCC
This 63-nucleotide transfer RNA is filed under the name Monodelphis domestica (gray short-tailed opossum). It matches the Rfam family "tRNA". From Rfam's summary of the family: Transfer RNA (tRNA) molecules are approximately 80 nucleotides in length. Their secondary structure includes four short double-helical elements and three loops (D, anti-codon, and T loops). The record is from Rfam by way of RNAcentral. Lineage: Eukaryota; Metazoa; Chordata; Mammalia; Didelphimorphia; Didelphidae.